AACGAACGCUGGCGGCAUGCCUAACACAUGCAAGUCGAACGAGACCUUCGGGUCUAGUGGCGCACGGGUGCGUAACGCGUGGGAAUCUGCCCUUGGGUUCGGAAUAACAGUUGGAAACGACUGCUAAUACCGGAUGAUGACGUAAGUCCAAAGAUUUAUCGCCCAAGGAUGAGCCCGCGUAGGAUUAGCUAGUUGGUGAGGUAAAGGCUCACCAAGGCGACGAUCCUUAGCUGGUCUGAGAGGAUGAUCAGCCACACUGGGACUGAGACACGGCCCAGACUCCUACGGGAGGCAGCAGUGGGGAAUAUUGGACAAUGGGCGAAAGCCUGAUCCAGCAAUGCCGCGUGAGUGAUGAAGGCCUUAGGGUUGUAAAGCUCUUUUACACGGGAUGAUAAUGACAGUACCGGGAGAAUAAGCUCCGGCUAACUCCGUG
RNAcentral lists this ribosomal RNA (433 nucleotides) under uncultured bacterium. RNAcentral describes it as "partial 16S ribosomal RNA". It matches the Rfam family "Bacterial small subunit ribosomal RNA", at positions 29 to 507 of the family's 1533-position model. The record is from RNAcentral.